UCUACGGGCGGCAGCAGUGAGGAAUAUUGGUCAAUGGGCGGGAGCCUGAACCAGCCAAGCCGCGUGAAGGAAGAAGGCGCCAAGCGUCGUAAACUUCUUUUGUCGGGGAACAAAGGGCGCCACGUGUGGCGUUGUGAGUGUACCCGAAGAAAAAGCAUCGGCUAACUCCGUGCCAGCAGCCGCGGUAAUACGGAGGAUGCGAGCGUUAUCCGGAUUUAUUGGGUUUAAAGGGUGCGUAGGCGGUCCGGAAAGUCAGCGGUAAAAGCCCGGGGCGCAACCCCGGCGAGCCGUUGAAACUGUGGGACUAGAGACGGCGAGAGGUACGCGGAAUGCGCGGUGUAGCGGUGAAAUGCAUAGAUAUUAGGAGGAACACCAGUGGCGAAGGCGGUCUGCUGGACAGCAACUGACGGUGAGGCGCGAAAGCGUGGGGAGCAAACAGGAUUAGAUACCCCAGUAGUC
This 459-nucleotide ribosomal RNA is filed under the name uncultured bacterium. RNAcentral describes it as "partial 16S ribosomal RNA". It matches the Rfam family "Bacterial small subunit ribosomal RNA", at positions 338 to 795 of the family's 1533-position model. The record is from RNAcentral.